UACGUACAAGCAGUGGGAGCCCCACCACUAAGCCAGUGGUGAACUCCACAUACGCAUCCUUUGCUGAGGAUACGGUUAACGGAGCGAAAGCGACGUUCAACCUCAAAAGAAGCAGAGGGGGCUUAGUGGUGGGGUGACUGCGUACCUUUUGUAUAAUGGGUCAGCGACUUAUAUUCUGUAGCAAGGUUAACCGAAUAGGGGAGCCGGAGGGAAACCGAGUCUUAACUGGGCGUUAAGUUGCAGGGUA
This 247-nucleotide ribosomal RNA is filed under the name Salmonella enterica subsp. enterica serovar Schwarzengrund. RNAcentral describes it as "partial 23S ribosomal RNA". It matches the Rfam family "Bacterial large subunit ribosomal RNA", at positions 561 to 709 of the family's 2925-position model. The record is from RNAcentral. Lineage: Bacteria; Pseudomonadati; Pseudomonadota; Gammaproteobacteria; Enterobacterales; Enterobacteriaceae.